This 1422-nucleotide long non-coding RNA is filed under the name Piliocolobus tephrosceles (Ugandan red Colobus). Its description in RNAcentral is "lncRNA (ENSPTEG00000035358.1)". Lineage: Eukaryota; Metazoa; Chordata; Mammalia; Primates; Cercopithecidae. The record is from RNAcentral.
UUUAAAUUUUUUAUUUGAUGGUUAACUGAUGUUUGUAAUAAAUUUUUAAAGUUAGUUUGAAUUUUUAUAAAAGCUAGAAAGAGAUACAAAUAAAGUAGUUCAAGAAAAAACGUGUAUAGCUUAGUUCUGUAUACAUUAAUUGUAAAAAUAUUAUUUAAUUACAUUUACUAAUUUAUUUAUAUAUUCAAAAAAAAUCGUUAAUACAUGUAUACAUGUAUAUAUAUAACGCAGAUUGGUACCAACAAUAUAUAAAUACAAAUAAUGAUUUUUGAAAUGUUAUGGUAUCUGCAUAUAAUGUUUAUAUUUAUAAAUAAUUAUUAGAUUUAUAAAAAAAAGUUAAAAGUAGUUUAUAACACAUCAUAAUAAGAAAUAUUUUUUUAAAGCACCAAACUUUUAAUAAAUAUAAUUUUUGUGUAAAUUUCGAGAACUACGUUUGAUUAAUUUUAACACUACCCUAAUUUUGUAUUUAUAAAAAAAAAAAAAAAAAAAAAUUAUGCUUUUUUCACAUUUAAUAGGUUUUUUUUAAAUAAAUUUAUUUUUUAAAUUAAUACAAUGAUUGACUAAAAAAAAAAAAAAUAAAAAAAAUAAAUAAAUAAAAAACAAAAAAGUUUUUAAAUAAUAAAUAGUUAAAAUUUUAUAUUUUUAUUUUAUAAUCGGAUACAUAUAUAGAUAUAAUAUUUUUUUAUUUAAGUAGCCCAUAUUAUCAAAGAACUAAACUUAAAAUGACAUUAUUGUUAAAAAUUAUUAGGCUUACUAUUUUAAUAUAUUUAUGUCAUAAUUACUGCGAAACAAUCAUUUAUAAAAAGUCGAAGAAUAAUGUAGAUGAUAAUAAUAAAAAAUUAGAUAUAGAUAAAUUAUUAGAAGAUAUAACAAAAAUAAAUAAUAUAUUACUAAAAGUGGAUUAUGACAUAGUAGAUAAAAUAAAAUUACAAGAUAAAACAAAAUUUCCAAAAAAACAAAAGUUAUUAAAAAUGCAAUCAUACAUUUUGCCAAAAAAAUUAAAAAGGUAUGCGAGGAUAUUAACAAAUAUGUUGCAAACUUUAAAAGAAGUUCAUCAAAGUUUAGAAAAAAUAACUUUUAAAUUACAUAAACGUAUGAAUAAUGACAAUAUAAAUAUAUCUACAUCGGAUCAAUUUAAUAAUAAAAUCAAAUUUAACAUAUAUAAUGUAUUAUGUAAACAAUAUUAUUACCAUUCCUUUUGGUUAUUUUUUAAUUCUUAUUUGAAUUAUAUUUUUAUGUAUCUACCCCAAUAACUAAUUUGAUAGCUCUAAUUACGUGGUUUAUAGAGACACGUAAGACUUUUUUAAGCACAUAUAUAAUUAAAACAAGAUACAAAAGAAAUAAUCAACAUAUAUUUUAAAGCUUAUAUAUUAUUUAAUCUAUUAAAAUAAAAAACAUAUUUCAUUAUAAUGUUAAACUUAC